AUGCAACCCUAUAGAUUAAAUGCUUUCGGUAUCAAAACACACAUCAAGCUACAGAGCAAGUUUUAUGGGUCAUUUCGAGUACUUCACAAAGUGGGAAAUGUGGCCUGUCAUUUGCAUCUUCCAAGUGAAGCAAAAAUACAUCCAGUAUUCCAUGUAAGUGAGCUCAAGCGACACAUUGGUCCCCAGGUGGUUCCCUGUCAAGAUCUCCUGUUAGUCAAUGUUGAUUGCACCAUUCAUCAAGCUCCGUUGUUCGUUCUUCAGACAAGGCAAAUCCCCAGGAAGAACCUCCCAGUGGUGCAGUGGUUAGUACAGUGGGAGAAUUUUCCUUCCGAUGACGCUACUCGGGAAGACGCGGAUUUUAUUAAGCAUACUUUCCCAUCUUUCUUCAAGGUGACAGUUGAGGGUUGGCGCAAAGAAACUUGA
RNAcentral lists this ribosomal RNA (423 nucleotides) under Triticum aestivum (bread wheat). Its description in RNAcentral is "partial small subunit ribosomal RNA". The record is from RNAcentral. Lineage: Eukaryota; Viridiplantae; Streptophyta; Magnoliopsida; Poales; Poaceae.